GCUAGUCUCAGUGGCAGACUUCAAACAAUCUGUCGUUCUGUUUCUGUCUGAGGCGUGCAUAUUCACAAACACACACAUCCACACAAAUGUAUGGCUGCAUUUCGGCAUAUACACACACACACACACACACACACACACACACACACACACACACACACACACACACACACACACACACACACACUGAUGUGAGAAUAGGAUGCUGUCUCGCUCUGCUUCUCUGGCUCACGCGGGGGACUUCUACCAGCAACCAACCGACCCCUAUGAACAUCCCUCAGCCUCCGGUGUUGUGCGCACACAACAAUACAAGAAUUCACAUGCUUGCAUAUGAAGCAGUGUCAACUAGCCUACAAACAAAAAGGACAAACCAGGUGCGGUAAACAAAUUAGUCUGCAUAAGUCUGGAUUUUUCGUGGACUCAAACCAGAAGAGCUGUGGAAAGUACCGUCGCACACACUUUCACACUUAUUUCAUGCAAAUACAAACAGUGCUCUCUUACAUACACUCCAUAGAGCUAUGCAAAUAGAUAAAGAAGCAAGUAUAUUCUUAGUCUCACGCGCACACAUUCAAACAGCACCCAAACCGGCUGGAAGAUUUGAUUCUUUCCUUUUUUAAAGGCGACCAACAGAUUUAUCACCAGGGUUGCACAAGCCGUUUGACUAAUGCUGUGUGUGUGUCUGUGUCUGUGUGCCACUUGCAAGGCGAGUGAGAGUGACCAACCGGGUCUCGUUUGUCUGUGUGUGUGCGUCAGAAGGCUGUAGACUCAAGCUAUUUUGAUCAGCAUGCUGCUUAGAUAUGUAAUCAGCAGGAUGAUACUUCAGGACAAAACAGAUGCUAUUCCUGAGGAGAAACAGCGCCGGGCCAACAUGCGUACCCUGAGGGAUCCCCUCAACAAUUCUAACUGUAAAGCGGCUAUUUUAGCUCGCCAAACAUAAACUACGGCCAAAACUUCAACCUAAUACACCGAAGAGCAUGCCAAGAAAAUGUACUCUGCAAUCAACCACAUAUCUAACCAUCUAUGUGAAGUGAGUCCCAGUGUUUUUUUUUUUUUGUAUUCAGGAGGUUGAAUGCUCUGCCGAGACCAAGAGUUGGUAUUUUCUGACUAUCGGCUUAUUUUGGUUGUGUUCUGUGCCACACUGAACUGAGGUGAGUGAUGAAUUAAGAAUGAAAGAGAUUAGUAAAGUCAAGAGGAAUCAAUAAUGAACAGACACUUCACAAUGUUCGAUUGAUCUCUAUCGUACAGAAAGGGAUCAAGUGUGUGCUGAAAUACCAGGGGAGCGACAGUUAAGAAGGAUGGAGGAGAAGGAGAGAAAAGAAACUGAAAGAAGAGGAGGAAGGAGGAGGUGGACUGACAGGAGAAGGCCUUGUAAGUGAAUGUGUUCCAUAGAUCUACAUACACAUACUAACACAAAUUGCAUGGGUUGUAGUUGAAAUGCCGUGGCGCCCUUCACGAGUAGUUGAGUGAGAAAAGUUAAGUUUGGGAGCUGUCGUGGACGUGAAUCUGCUGAGGUUACCAUGUGAAUGUUCUGGAACGACACUCGAUGACACAUACAACCUGAGAGAAGAGCCAAGUGGUCAGACAUGAAACAACACGAAUGAUAAGUCACACAGAAAACUUUUGGUGAGUCACGGCAACGAUCAGUUAGAGGCCAACGCGAGCCCGGAUAUUCAUCAAUAAAAGCUAAAAACAGAAUAGAUACAGAGUUAAAGUUUUAAGAACAUUUUAGGAGUGAACAUGAGAGAAAUUUGGCCUUUUUUUGAAC
This is a non-coding RNA of Xyrichtys novacula (pearly razorfish), 1762 nucleotides long. NCBI's taxonomy places the organism in Eukaryota, Metazoa, Chordata, Actinopteri, Labriformes, Labridae. The record is from the annotation of a GenBank genome assembly.